RNAcentral lists this ribosomal RNA (650 nucleotides) under uncultured bacterium. RNAcentral describes it as "bacterial SSU rRNA". It matches the Rfam family "Bacterial small subunit ribosomal RNA", at positions 82 to 769 of the family's 1533-position model. The record is from RNAcentral.
GGGGGAUCUCGGUGUGGCAGACGGGUGAGUACGCGUGGGACCUUCCCUGUGGUGCGGAAUAGCUCCGGGAAACUGGAAUUAAUACCGCAUACGCCCUUCGGGGGAAAGAUUUAUCGCCAUAGGAUGGGCCCGCGUUGGAUUAGCUAGUUGGUGAGGUAAUGGCUCACCAAGGCUGCGAUCCAUAGCUGGUCUUAGAGGAUGAUCAGCCACACUGGGACUGAGACACGGCCCAGACUCCUACGGGAGGCAGCAGUGGGGAAUAUUGGACAAUGGGCGCAAGCCUGAUCCAGCCAUGCCGCGUGAGUGACGAAGGCCUUAGGGUUGUAAAACUCUUUUGGCGGGGACGAUAAUGACGGUAUCCGCAGAAUAAGCCCCGGCUAACUUCGUGCCAGCAGCCGCGGUAAUACGAAGGGGGCUAGCGUUGUUCGGAAUCACUGGGCGUAAAGCGCACGUAGGCGGACUGGUCAGUUGGGGGUGAAAUCCCGGGGCUUAACCUCGGAACUGCCUUCAAUACUGCCAGUCUUGAGUCCGAGAGAGGUGAGUGGAAUUCCUAGUGUAGAGGUGAAAUUCGUAGAUAUUAGGAAGAACACCAGUGGCGAAGGCGGCUCACUGGCUCGGUACUGACGCUGAGGUGCGAAAGCGUGGGGAGC